UUUGUGUUUCUUUUUAAUUUUGGCUUUCUGGUGUGUUUAGCUUUCUGUCAGGGUGUCUUCCAGUAUUGUUUCAUGUGAUGUGAUUCAUGUUUGUUGUGUUACUGUGAGUGCAGCACCAGCUCUGGGGCUGGAAGAAGUGUUGAGCCCUGCUGUCACAGCAGCAGCGAUGGAGCCCUGCUCUGAUCCCCUCCCAAGGAAGAAGGCAGCAGUGGGAAAAGCCAGGGAGAGUCUCCUCUGCCUCAGGCUCUACAGCAGGAAGAAGAAAGCAGGUUAUUCUACCUACAUACACAAACUCCUGAAUCAAACCUGGAACGCAGGUGCCUCCUGCCUGGUGGCUGCUGCUCUCAGCUCACUGAACAGUCCCCGUCUGCUUGGGGAAGUAGCACUUGAGGYGGCCAGGCUGUCCUGCUACAGCAGAAGAAACCACCUCACCCACAGGGAGAUCCUCCUGGCCAUGAAGCUGGUUCUCCUGCAUGAGCUCUGCAAGACUAAUCUGGGAUCCUCAAGCUGGCAGCCAGUGCUGAAGGGACCUGGCGAGAUGUGACAGUUCUAAGAGUAUUUUAAAUGUGUUUUGGUA
This is a long non-coding RNA of Apteryx rowi (Okarito brown kiwi), 577 nucleotides long. Lineage: Eukaryota; Metazoa; Chordata; Aves; Apterygiformes; Apterygidae. The record is from Ensembl.